GGCGGGUCAACUUCACGCGUUAAGCUGACCCUGAGCCAGGAUCAAACUCCGCGAGCGGGGGACCGAAAGGCCUCGCGCUCAAGGGGCGGCCGAUGGCAGAUUAGCUAGUUGGUGGGGUAAAGGCCUACCAAGGCGACGAUCUGUAGCUGGUCUGAGAGGACGACCAGCCACACUGGGACUGAGACACGGCCCAGACUCCUACGGGAGGCAGCAGUGGGGAAUUUUGGACAAUGGGGGCAACCCUGAUCCAGCAAUGCCGCGUGUGUGAAGAAGGCCUUCGGGUUGUAAAGCACUUUUGUCCGGAAAGAAAACCACUUCUCUAAUACAGAGGUGGGAUGACGGUACCGGAAGAAUAAGCACCGGCUAACUACGUGCCAGCAGCCGCGGUAAUACGUAGGGUGCGAGCGUUAAUCGGAAUUACUGGGCGUAAAGCGUGCGCAGGCGGUUCGUUAAGACCGAUGUGAAAUCCCCGGGCUUAACCUGGGAACUGCAUUGGGUGACUGGCGGCUAGAGUAUGGCAGAGGGGGUAGAAUUCCGCGU
RNAcentral lists this ribosomal RNA (540 nucleotides) under uncultured bacterium. RNAcentral's name for it is "bacterial SSU rRNA". It matches the Rfam family "Bacterial small subunit ribosomal RNA", at positions 136 to 674 of the family's 1533-position model. The record is from RNAcentral.